RNAcentral lists this ribosomal RNA (500 nucleotides) under uncultured bacterium. RNAcentral describes it as "partial 16S ribosomal RNA". It matches the Rfam family "Bacterial small subunit ribosomal RNA", at positions 30 to 523 of the family's 1533-position model. The record is from RNAcentral.
AUUGAACGCUGGCGGCAGGCCUAACACAUGCAAGUCGAGCGGAUGACGGGAGCUUGCUCCUUGAUUCAGCGGCGGACGGGUGAGUAAUGCCUAGGAAUCUGCCUGGUAGUGGGGGACAACGUUUCGAAAGGAACGCUAAUACCGCAUACGUCCUACGGGAGAAAGCAGGGGACCUUCGGGCCUUGCGCUAUCAGACGAGCCUAGGUCGGAUUAGCUAGUUGGUGGGGUAAUGGCUCACCAAGGCGACGACCCGUAACUGGUCUGAGAGGAUGAUCAGGCACACUGGAACUGAGAAACGGUCCAGACUCCUACGGGAGGCAGCAGUGGGGAAUAUUGGACAAUGGGCGAAAGCCUGAUCCAGCCAUGCCGCGUGUGUGAAGAAGGUCUUCGGAUUGUAAAGCACUUUAAGUUGGGAGGAAGGGCAGUAAGCUAAUACCUUGCUGUUUUGACGUUACCGACAGAAUAAGCACCGGCUAACUCUGUGCCAGCAGCCGCAGUAA